ACUGCCAUGAUACUGAUAGCAUUGAGUUGUUAACGUAAGCCGCAUGUGUAAUGUAGCGGUGAAAUGCUUAGAUAUUACACAGAACACCCAAUUGCGUAGGCAGCUCACAAAGCCCAAGAUUGACGCUGAGGCACGAAAGUGUGGGGAUCAAACAAGGAUUAGAUACCCUGGUAGUCCACCACUGUAAACGAUGAUAACUCGCUGUCGGCGAUAUACAGUCGGUGGCCAAGCGAAAGCGAUAAGUUAUCCACCUGGGGAGUACGACCGCAAGGUUGAAACUCAAAGGAAUUGACGGGGGCCCGCACAAGCGGAGGAACAUGUGGUUUAAUUCGAUGAUACGCGAGGAACCUUACCUGGGCUUAAAUGUAGAGUGCAUUUUCUAGAGAUAGGAAUUCCCUUCGGGGCUUUCUGCAAGGUGCUGCAUGGUUGUCGUCAGCUCGUGCCGUGAGGUGUCGGGUUAAGUCCCAUAACGAGCGCAACCCUUAUCGUUAGUUGCCAUCUGGUAAAGCAGGGGACUCUAGCGAAACUGCCACCGUAAGGUGAGAGGAAGGUGGGGAUGACGUCAAAUCAGCACGGCCCUUAUGUCCAGGGCUACACACGUGUUACAAUGGUCGGUACAGAGGGCAGCUACCUGGUGACAGGAUGCUAAUCUCGAAAACCGGUCUCAGUUCGGAUCGAAGUCUGCAACUCGA
This 692-nucleotide ribosomal RNA is filed under the name uncultured bacterium. Its description in RNAcentral is "bacterial SSU rRNA". It matches the Rfam family "Bacterial small subunit ribosomal RNA", at positions 621 to 1315 of the family's 1533-position model. The record is from RNAcentral.